This 196-nucleotide ribosomal RNA is filed under the name Chromis multilineata (brown chromis). RNAcentral describes it as "partial large subunit ribosomal RNA". The record is from RNAcentral. Lineage: Eukaryota; Metazoa; Chordata; Actinopteri; Pomacentridae.
AUGGAGACCUGUAUGAAUGGCAUGACGAGGGCUUGACUGUCUCCUUUUUCCAGUCAAUGAAAUUGAUCUCCCCGUGCAGAAGCGGGGAUAAUAACAUAAGACGAGAAGACCCUGUGGAGCUUUAGACACUAAGCCAGACCAUGUCAAAAACCCCUUAUCUAAAGGACUGAACUUAUUGGCCCCCUGUCCUGAUGUC